This 492-nucleotide ribosomal RNA is filed under the name uncultured bacterium. RNAcentral's name for it is "partial 16S ribosomal RNA". It matches the Rfam family "Bacterial small subunit ribosomal RNA", at positions 29 to 507 of the family's 1533-position model. The record is from RNAcentral.
AGUGAACGCUGGCGGUAGGCCUAACACAUGCAAGUCGAACGGCAGCACAGUAAGAGCUUGCUCUUACGGGUGGCGAGUGGCGGACGGGUGAGGAAUACAUCGGAAUCUACUUUUUCGUGGGGGAUAACGUAGGGAAACUUACGCUAAUACCGCAUACGACCUACGGGUGAAAGCAGGGGAUCUUCGGACCUUGCGCGAUUGAAUGAGCCGAUGUCGGAUUAGCUAGUUGGCGGGGUAAAGGCCCACCAAGGCGACGAUCCGUAGCUGGUCUGAGAGGAUGAUCAGCCACACUGGAACUGAGACACGGUCAAGACUCCUACGGGAGGCAGCAGUGGGGAAUAUUGGACAAAGGGCGCAAGCCUGAUCCAGCCAUACCGCGUGGGUGAAGAAGGCCUUCGGGUUGUAAAGCCCUUUUGUUGGGAAAGAAAAGCAGCAGGUUAAUACCCCGCUGUUCUGACGGUACCCAAAGAAUAAGCACCGGCUAACUUCGUG